ACAUUAACCGUAUAAAUUGAGAGGUGGGAUUUUGGGCAUUUAUAGAUGGUAGGAGAGAUAGCUAGCUAGAAACCUACCACCACCCUCUAUCAUUACCCUUACAUAAUAAAAUAUUCCUUGCCCAAAAUUAAUGCUGAGGGCAUCCCUUGAUCAUCUCAGCUUAUCCAAUAUCUUUUUCAUGAAAAAAAAAAAAAAAACAGAGAGAGAGAGAGAGAGAAUCCAACUAGAAAGGAAUUAAACCCGCAUGAAUGAAUUAAAAUCCAGGAAAAUCCAGCAUUGAGUGUAUUAUAUGUGUACAGGAGGGGUUGGGUUUCAAGAAUUUUUUACCAAGUUUAAUUAAACUUUUCUACAAAGAAGAAAGAAGAGUUUCAUCCCUUCCGGUGGCCCAUCAGGUUUUCACGCAUGUUCCGAGUGAUCACCUUUGCCGCCGGUCUCCGUUCCUGACCCUCAACAUCUUUAGGUUCAUCGUAAAAAUCUUCACCAUGUAACAUUCUUGGUGGUGAUACCAGAGCCUUGAUCGAUGUCAUGGAUCUUCCCCGGGCUAGGCUUCAAUACCACUAUUCGAGUGGGUUGAUCAGCAGGAGGAUAUUCAACAAUCUUCUCAUCGGAAAAGGCAGGAGAAUAUUUAUCCAAGAUUGUUUUUCUCCCACCCAGUGGCUUGCCCGGAGAUGGAGGCAUAGAUUGCAUGUCAUGCAGAUGUUGAGAGAACAAUAUUGAAUUUGGUUCCAGCAGAAACUUGAGGAAUAAAUCUUUAUUUGAACUUAA
Molecule: long non-coding RNA, 765 nt
Organism: Populus nigra (black poplar)
Lineage: Eukaryota; Viridiplantae; Streptophyta; Magnoliopsida; Malpighiales; Salicaceae
Exons: 2
Source: RefSeq, a predicted model, not a curated record